RNAcentral lists this ribosomal RNA (419 nucleotides) under bacterium enrichment culture clone ALO1_GLFRUDD03GJ856. RNAcentral's name for it is "bacterial SSU rRNA". It matches the Rfam family "Bacterial small subunit ribosomal RNA", at positions 9 to 430 of the family's 1533-position model. The record is from RNAcentral.
GAGUUUGAUCAUGGCUCAGAUUGAACGCUGGCGGCAUGCCUUACGCAUGCAAGUCGAACGGCAGCACGGGAGCUUGCUCCUGGUGGCGAGUGGCGAACGGGUGAGUAAUGCAUCGGAACGUAUCCUGGAGUGGGGGAUAACGUAGCGAAAGUUACGCUAAUACCGCAUAUUCUGUGAGCAGGAAAGCGGGGGACCUUCGGGCCUCGCGCUCUUGGAGCGGCCGAUGUCGGAUUAGCUAGUUGGUGAGGUAAAGGCUCACCAAGGCGACGAUCCGUAGCAGGUCUGAGAGGAUGAUCUGCCACACUGGAACUGAGACACGGUCCAGACUCCUACGGGAGGCAGCAGUGGGGAAUUUUGGACAAUGGGGGCAACCCUGAUCCAGCCAUGCCGCGUGAGUGAAGAAGGCCUCGGUUGUAAGU